RNAcentral lists this ribosomal RNA (105 nucleotides) under uncultured eukaryote. RNAcentral describes it as "partial small subunit ribosomal RNA". It matches the Rfam family "Eukaryotic small subunit ribosomal RNA", at positions 1675 to 1798 of the family's 1831-position model. The record is from RNAcentral.
GUCGCUCUUACCGAUGGACUUCUCUGUGAGUUUGAGGGACUGGAUUUUAUAUCUAUGGAAACUCAACGAACAGUGUGGUCUAAAGGAAAGAGAAGUCGUAACAAG